Molecule: ribosomal RNA, 2921 nt
Filed under: Staphylococcus aureus M0328
Lineage: Bacteria; Bacillati; Bacillota; Bacilli; Caryophanales; Staphylococcaceae
Also listed under: 2 other names
Description: bacterial LSU rRNA
Rfam family: Bacterial large subunit ribosomal RNA
Source: RNAcentral
UUAAGUUAUUAAGGGCGCACGGUGGAUGCCUUGGCACUAGAAGCCGAUGAAGGACGUUACUAACGACGAUAUGCUUUGGGGAGCUGUAAGUAAGCUUUGAUCCAGAGAUUUCCGAAUGGGGAAACCCAGCAUGAGUUAUGUCAUGUUAUCGAUAUGUGAAUACAUAGCAUAUCAGAAGGCACACCCGGAGAACUGAAACAUCUUAGUACCCGGAGGAAGAGAAAGAAAAUUCGAUUCCCUUAGUAGCGGCGAGCGAAACGGGAAGAGCCCAAACCAAAAAGCUUGCUUGUUGGGGUUGUAGGACACUCUGUACGGAGUUACAAAGGACGACAUUAGACGAAUCAUCUGGAAAGAUGAAUCAAAGAAGGUAAUAAUCCUGUAGUCGAAAAUGUUGUCUCUCUUGAGUGGAUCCUGAGUACGACGGAGCACGUGAAAUUCCGUCGGAAUCUGGGAGGACCAUCUCCUAAGGCUAAAUACUCUCUAGUGACCGAUAGUGAACCAGUACCGUGAGGGAAAGGUGAAAAGCACCCCGGAAGGGGAGUGAAAUAGAACCUGAAACCGUGUGCUUACAAGUAGUCAGAGCCCGUUAAUGGGUGAUGGCGUGCCUUUUGUAGAAUGAACCGGCGAGUUACGAUUUGAUGCAAGGUUAAGCAGUAAAUGUGGAGCCGUAGCGAAAGCGAGUCUGAAUAGGGCGUUUAGUAUUUGGUCGUAGACCCGAAACCAGGUGAUCUACCCUUGGUCAGGUUGAAGUUCAGGUAACACUGAAUGGAGGACCGAACCGACUUACGUUGAAAAGUGAGCGGAUGAACUGAGGGUAGCGGAGAAAUUCCAAUCGAACCUGGAGAUAGCUGGUUCUCUCCGAAAUAGCUUUAGGGCUAGCCUCAAGUGAUGAUUAUUGGAGGUAGAGCACUGUUUGGACGAGGGGCCCCUCUCGGGUUACCGAAUUCAGACAAACUCCGAAUGCCAAUUAAUUUAACUUGGGAGUCAGAACAUGGGUGAUAAGGUCCGUGUUCGAAAGGGAAACAGCCCAGACCACCAGCUAAGGUCCCAAAAUAUAUGUUAAGUGGAAAAGGAUGUGGCGUUGCCCAGACAACUAGGAUGUUGGCUUAGAAGCAGCCAUCAUUUAAAGAGUGCGUAAUAGCUCACUAGUCGAGUGACACUGCGCCGAAAAUGUACCGGGGCUAAACAUAUUACCGAAGCUGUGGAUUGUCCUUUGGACAAUGGUAGGAGAGCGUUCUAAGGGCGUUGAAGCAUGAUCGUAAGGACAUGUGGAGCGCUUAGAAGUGAGAAUGCCGGUGUGAGUAGCGAAAGACGGGUGAGAAUCCCGUCCACCGAUUGACUAAGGUUUCCAGAGGAAGGCUCGUCCGCUCUGGGUUAGUCGGGUCCUAAGCUGAGGCCGACAGGCGUAGGCGAUGGAUAACAGGUUGAUAUUCCUGUACCACCUAUAAUCGUUUUAAUCGAUGGGGGGACGCAGUAGGAUAGGCGAAGCGUGCGAUUGGAUUGCACGUCUAAGCAGUAAGGCUGAGUAUUAGGCAAAUCCGGUACUCGUUAAGGCUGAGCUGUGAUGGGGAGAAGACAUUGAGUCUUCGAGUCGUUGAUUUCACACUGCCGAGAAAAGCCUCUAGAUAGAAAAUAGGUGCCCGUACCGCAAACCGACACAGGUAGUCAAGAUGAGAAUUCUAAGGUGAGCGAGCGAACUCUCGUUAAGGAACUCGGCAAAAUGACCCCGUAACUUCGGGAGAAGGGGUGCUCUUUAGGGUUAACGCCCAGAAGAGCCGCAGUGAAUAGGCCCAAGCGACUGUUUAUCAAAAACACAGGUCUCUGCUAAACCGUAAGGUGAUGUAUAGGGGCUGACGCCUGCCCGGUGCUGGAAGGUUAAGAGGAGUGGUUAGCUUCUGCGAAGCUACGAAUCGAAGCCCCAGUAAACGGCGGCCGUAACUAUAACGGUCCUAAGGUAGCGAAAUUCCUUGUCGGGUAAGUUCCGACCCGCACGAAAGGCGUAACGAUUUGGGCACUGUCUCAACGAGAGACUCGGUGAAAUCAUAGUACCUGUGAAGAUGCAGGUUACCCGCGACAGGACGGAAAGACCCCGUGGAGCUUUACUGUAGCCUGAUAUUGAAAUUCGGCACAGCUUGUACAGGAUAGGUAGGAGCCUUUGAAACGUGAGCGCUAGCUUACGUGGAGGCGCUGGUGGGAUACUACCCUAGCUGUGUUGGCUUUCUAACCCGCACCACUUAUCGUGGUGGGAGACAGUGUCAGGCGGGCAGUUUGACUGGGGCGGUCGCCUCCUAAAAGGUAACGGAGGCGCUCAAAGGUUCCCUCAGAAUGGUUGGAAAUCAUUCAUAGAGUGUAAAGGCAUAAGGGAGCUUGACUGCGAGACCUACAAGUCGAGCAGGGUCGAAAGACGGACUUAGUGAUCCGGUGGUUCCGCAUGGAAGGGCCAUCGCUCAACGGAUAAAAGCUACCCCGGGGAUAACAGGCUUAUCUCCCCCAAGAGUUCACAUCGACGGGGAGGUUUGGCACCUCGAUGUCGGCUCAUCGCAUCCUGGGGCUGUAGUCGGUCCCAAGGGUUGGGCUGUUCGCCCAUUAAAGCGGUACGCGAGCUGGGUUCAGAACGUCGUGAGACAGUUCGGUCCCUAUCCGUCGUGGGCGUAGGAAAUUUGAGAGGAGCUGUCCUUAGUACGAGAGGACCGGGAUGGACAUACCUCUGGUGUACCAGUUGUCGUGCCAACGGCAUAGCUGGGUAGCUAUGUGUGGACGGGAUAAGUGCUGAAAGCAUCUAAGCAUGAAGCCCCCCUCAAGAUGAGAUUUCCCAACUUCGGUUAUAAGAUCCCUCAAAGAUGAUGAGGUUAAUAGGUUCGAGGUGGAAGCAUGGUGACAUGUGGAGCUGACGAAUACUAAUCGAUCGAAGACUUAAUCAA